This 499-nucleotide long non-coding RNA is filed under the name Apis dorsata (giant honeybee). RNAcentral describes it as "uncharacterized LOC102680801, transcript variant X1". Lineage: Eukaryota; Metazoa; Arthropoda; Insecta; Hymenoptera; Apidae. The record is from RNAcentral.
GCAUUUACCGGCCGCGUUGACUCGAACAAGGGCAGUUAAUGGUUUUGGUCGUAUCUAGAAGCGAUACAAAUUGAUUUUACAAACGAAACAAUGCGUGGCGCCAUGUGUUCGCGCUGGGCCAGAUGUCGCCAUAGUCGGUUUCUUGAUCAACUAGGUUAGUUGUCGCGUAUCGUAUUGGCAACGACGCGGAACAUUUUCUUUCAGUCACAUUCACUUUCUUGCAAUUUGCGUGAUAUUUAAUCAUGGUUGCAUUCUUUUAAAGGUUUUGUUCAUUUUUUUUGGCUUGAUUGUGGGUAGUUGAUUUUUUUGUAAAGUAUCGAGCAGAUUGUCAAUUCGGGAGCAAAAAAGAACACGAUCGUCCUGAGGCAGGUAAUAAUAAUAAUAAAUAAAUAAAAGGGCUUGGAUUAUCUGCGGUAUAUAAAAGUUGGAGUAUGUUGAAGCUGAAUAUUUUAAGCGAUUUGUGUAUAGUGCUGAAUAUAAUGAGAUUGAUGUAGGUAGG